GAUGAAGAACGUAGCGAAAUGCGAUAAGUAGUGUGAAUUGCAGAAUUCAGUGAAUCAUCGAAUCUUUGAACGCACAUUGCGCCCCAUGGUAUUCCGUGGGGCAUGCCUGUUCGAGCGUCAUUUACCCCCUCAAGCUCCGCUUGGUGUUGGGCGUCUGUCCCGCUUCGCGCGCGGACUCGCCCCAAAGGUAUUGGCAGCGGUCGUGCCAGCUUUUCGCGCAGCACAUUGCGCUUCUCGAGGCACCGGUGGGCCCGCGUCCAUCAAGCUCACCCCCCCAGUUUGACCUCGGAUCAGGUAGGGAUACCCGCUGAACUUAAGCAUAUCAAUAAGCGGAGGA
RNAcentral lists this unclassified non-coding RNA (337 nucleotides) under soil metagenome. RNAcentral's name for it is "partial contains 5.8S ribosomal RNA, internal transcribed spacer 2, and large subunit ribosomal RNA". The stretch from base 1 to 120 matches the Rfam family "5.8S ribosomal RNA", at positions 35 to 154 of the family's 154-position model. The record is from RNAcentral.